UGUGAAUAUACUUCACAGCAGAUCAAACACAUUUAUGGCAUGCACUGACCUCUUCUUAGAGCCCAGAACUUUAAUGGGCUGAAACAGUUGGUAUAGCAACCCCAGAGAAGCGCUUCAUUUUCUUUUUAUAGUAGAAGCAGGUCCAUGUCUUUUGUGGUUUCCUUCACAUCUUUGGAGUAGUUGUGACUUCUCAGUUUUUCCCCCCUUAAACUGCAUUGCCUGUUCUCUUUUCCUGACAUGCUAUCAGGUAUCAGUGUGUUGAAUACAUACUGCUUGUGUAUCAGACUUAUGUUACUGUCAUUACCAUUAAAAGAAUCGCAGCCUUGUGCCCCAUGACCUUCAAAAAAAAAAAAAA
This 355-nucleotide long non-coding RNA is filed under the name Homo sapiens (human). Its description in RNAcentral is "HSALNT0126030". The record is from RNAcentral. Lineage: Eukaryota; Metazoa; Chordata; Mammalia; Primates; Hominidae.